AAUUAUAAUUUAGUUUAGGUUUAGGGUCCAUUAAAACGCUCGAAUCAUAUAUGGCUGCUACUCCACCUCCUCGGCCAGUGCCUCGAGGAAUGUGAGUAUUAAUAUGACUGGGGGGGUGGUUUCAUUUAGGCUAACAUACUCCUCGUGGGACAACCAGGUCUCAGUAAGACAAAGUAAAUCAAUAUCAUAAUCUGAUAUUAAUUCAUUCACUAAAACAGCUUUAGAGGACAGAGACCUGAUAUUUAACAGUCCACAUUUCAUUCUCUUAUUUUGUGCUACUGAGGAGUUGGUUUUAAUUUUUAUUAGGUUUUUAUGUUUAACUCCUCUUGUUUUUAUUUCUUUAAAUAAUUUAGGUGGUCGGGGGACAGACACAGUCUCUAUGGGGUUUUGGGUGGGUGACUGUUCUAAAGAAAGCGCAGAGAAGUGUGUAAGACAGCAGCUCUGCUUCCUGGUCCUAACUCUGGACUGUCAGGUUUUAGAAAUAAACUUCGCCAUAUUUCUAGAUAAGAGAGCCGCUCCAUCCAAAGUGGGAUGGAUGCCGUCUCUCCUAAUCAGACCAGGUUUUCCCCAAAAAGGCUUCCAGUUAUCAAUGAAGCCCACAUCGUUUUCUGGACACCACCUCGACAGCCAGCGGUGG
This is a long non-coding RNA of Dicentrarchus labrax (European seabass), 637 nucleotides long. RefSeq lists it as uncharacterized. Lineage: Eukaryota; Metazoa; Chordata; Actinopteri; Moronidae. The transcript has 2 exons. The record is from RefSeq and is a predicted model, not a curated record.